This 72-nucleotide ribozyme is filed under the name unclassified sequences. RNAcentral's name for it is "HDV ribozyme from F. prausnitzii". It matches the Rfam family "HDV ribozyme from F. prausnitzii". The record is from RNAcentral.
GCUGCUCGGAUAAUCACACACCUCUUCGUGGUGAGCAGCAGGUAACGAUCUUUGAUCGGCUGAGAUGUGAAA